Molecule: non-coding RNA, 367 nt
Filed under: Pongo abelii (Sumatran orangutan)
Lineage: Eukaryota; Metazoa; Chordata; Mammalia; Primates; Hominidae
Source: RNAcentral
UAUAAAUUACUCAAUCUCAGGUAUUUCUUCAUAGCAGCAUGAGAAUGGACUAAUACAAAGUCCUUUGGCUGGAGGCAACAAGAAAAAUUCUGACUAUCAUUUCCCAUGCUACCCCUCACCUUUCAAAUCCUUUACAGUAUGGGGAGCAGGAGAAAGGCAGACCUUACAUGAGAGGACUGUGAGGGGAGCAAGGUCGAGAGUCCACAUGGAACCCCAAAAACUAGGAGAGCUAGAACAAGGACAUUUGAAACAAAAAGAAAAAUUACUGUCAUGUGAUGUGUGAUCCAUGAUACCAUCAUAGUUUUAUUUAGCUGUGCUCCACCUUCAUAUCUUCACCUAUGUUAGAACUUCUGAGAAGCUGAAGCAU